GAUUUCUGGCUUGUGUCAUCUGACCCGCCACGGUUACGUGUGUGAGUGUCGGUAUGAAACUGCCAUCACUUCUAGAACUACUUCAUACUCUUCAUUGAGCCGUGAGGUGUGAUCUAGAUCUUUUACUUUGAAAAAAUUAGAGUGUUUCAAGCAGGCUUUAUGCUAUGAAUACAUUAGCAUGGAAUAAUAAUUUAGGACUUCGGUUCUAUUUUGUUGGUUUCUAGGACUGAAGUAAUGAUUGAUAGGGAUAGUUGGGGGUGCUAGUAUUCAGCGGCCAGAGGUGAAAUUCUCGGAUUCGCUGAAGACUAACUUAUGCGAAAGCAUU
This 325-nucleotide ribosomal RNA is filed under the name Glissomonadida sp. RNAcentral's name for it is "SSU rRNA". The stretch from base 114 to 325 matches the Rfam family "Eukaryotic small subunit ribosomal RNA", at positions 743 to 955 of the family's 1831-position model. Lineage: Eukaryota; Cercozoa; Glissomonadida. The record is from RNAcentral.